RNAcentral lists this ribosomal RNA (434 nucleotides) under uncultured bacterium. Its description in RNAcentral is "bacterial SSU rRNA". It matches the Rfam family "Bacterial small subunit ribosomal RNA", at positions 355 to 787 of the family's 1533-position model. The record is from RNAcentral.
UGAGGAAUAUUGGUCAAUGGGCGGAAGCCUGAACCAGCCAAGUCGCGUGAGGGAGGAAGGCCCUAUGGGUCGUAAACCUCUUUUGUCAGGGAACAAAAGCGAGUAUGUAUACUAGUCUGAGUGUACCUGAAGAAAAAGCAUCGGCUAACUCCGUGCCAGCAGCCGCGGUAAUACGGAGGAUGCGAGCGUUAUCCGGAUUUAUUGGGUUUAAAGGGUGCGUAGGCGGCGGUGCAAGUCAGCGGUAAAAGCCCGGGGCUCAACCCCGGCGAGCCGUUGAAACUGCAGUGCUAGAGAAGGCGAGAGGUACGCGGAAUGCGCAGUGUAGCGGUGAAAUGCUUAGAUAUUGCGCAGAACUCCGAUUGCGAAGGCAGCGUACUGGCGCCUGACUGACGCUGAGGCACGAAAGCGUGGGGAUCGAACAGGAUUAGAUACCC